Molecule: transfer RNA, 74 nt
Filed under: Candidatus Moduliflexus flocculans
Lineage: Bacteria; Candidatus Moduliflexota; Candidatus Moduliflexia; Candidatus Moduliflexales; Candidatus Moduliflexaceae
Rfam family: tRNA
About the family: Transfer RNA (tRNA) molecules are approximately 80 nucleotides in length. Their secondary structure includes four short double-helical elements and three loops (D, anti-codon, and T loops).
Source: Rfam by way of RNAcentral
GUGAGUGUAGCUCAGUUGGUUAGAGCGUCGGAUUGUGGCUCCGAAGGUCGAGAGUUCGAGCCUCUUCACUCACC